UGGGGAAUAUUGGACAAUGGGCGCAAGCCUGAUCCAGCAAUGCCGCGUGUGUGAAGAAGGCCUGCGGGUUGUAAAGCACUUUCAAUCGUGAAAAAAGCUCAUGGUUAAUACCCAUGAGUCUUGAUGUUAACGAUACAAGAAGCACCGGCUAACUCCGUGCCAGCAGCCGCGGUAAUACGGAGGGUGCGAGCGUUAAUCGGAAUUACUGGGCGUAAAGAGCACGUAGGCGGCUUGGUCAGUCGGAUGUGAAAGCCCCGGGCUUAACCUGGGAAUUGCACUCGAUACUGCCAAGCUAGAGUUUAGUAGAGGAAUGCGGAAUUCCGGGUGUAGCGGUGAAAUGCGUAGAGAUC
Molecule: ribosomal RNA, 350 nt
Filed under: uncultured bacterium
Lineage: Bacteria
Description: bacterial SSU rRNA
Rfam family: Bacterial small subunit ribosomal RNA
Source: RNAcentral